RNAcentral lists this long non-coding RNA (1098 nucleotides) under Marmota monax (woodchuck). The record is from RNAcentral. Lineage: Eukaryota; Metazoa; Chordata; Mammalia; Rodentia; Sciuridae.
CUUUCUUUCUCUUUUAUAGACAAAAGUCUGAACUGUAGGAAAAAAGGUCAUGAGUCAUGAUCCAAGGUGGAAUAAUGGAGAUGAAAUAAACAAGGCAAAACGGGCGGAAACAGAACGAAAUCAUUUACCAAGACUGCAAAAUGGAAUGUGGCUUCUAUCCUUUCUUGAUCUAAAAUGUGACCAACAGUGAUCUGUUGUACAAAGUAUUUUACCGGGGAGAUGAUGACCUCUCCUUUUUUUCUGUGGAUCAGUGCUAUUUUGUGUGCAAAUGAAAAUAAUUCUCAGUGUAAGAUAGUCAGAUCAUCUCAGCAGUGAGCACACUAACAGAACUGAGUUCCAGAAGGAAGCAGUUUCUGGUGCUUUGCAUACAUCCAUAUCCAUGCAAGCUGGAACAAGUUCCAAUGCACACUUCCCAUGCUUCUGAGUCUAGGCAUUGCGGUGAAUAUUCAGGAGUCAUUCAUGAGGCAGAAUGUAUUUUAUUGUAUGACAGAAGGGUGUCUUUCCAAGCAAACUAUGGUAAGCAUAGUGUUGAAUAUGUUGCAUGUCGUGUUAGAAAACAGAAUCCAGUCAUCAGCUAAUACAAACGAUUUCUCAGAGCAGUGUUUGUUUCAAGCUUCUGUCAAAUAGUAUGGCUUUUCUGCAGGGUCCCUGUGAUUUCUCACCAAUGUACUUUCUUUGUGAACUUCCUUACUGUUAUGGUGUAACUCAGGAAAAGAUGGAUGGAGAGAGGAAUAAAAUCUGAAAAGACUUUUCUUGGAUUCACACAUUUGAGGGGUCCUGAGAGGUGAGGGGAUUCCUUUUGUGAGGAUUACCUGAAUGAAGAGAGAGGGCUACCUAACUGCAUUGUAUAUUAACAUGAUUAUUGGCAUGUUGUUUACUAUCAUAUUAUACAAGGGUGCAUUGAGCCCACGGGGCUGGUCCCUAUACUGUAUGUUAUAAGGAAGACGUGGGCAAAAUAGGUUUACACGGAGGGUGGUGGUACUUCUGGAGACGGAGCGUAAAUAUGUACAUUCAACUGAGUUAUGUGAACUGGAGGUCACCUGCACCCCUGUUGACGGAUGCUCCAGAACACCACCCUGUUUCAUCUAUAUAGAGUUU